RNAcentral lists this ribosomal RNA (736 nucleotides) under uncultured Corynebacterium sp. Its description in RNAcentral is "bacterial SSU rRNA". It matches the Rfam family "Bacterial small subunit ribosomal RNA", at positions 28 to 776 of the family's 1533-position model. The record is from RNAcentral. Lineage: Bacteria; Bacillati; Actinomycetota; Actinomycetes; Mycobacteriales; Corynebacteriaceae.
GAUGAACGCUGGCGGCGUGCUUAACACAUGCAAGUCGAACGGAAAGGCCGAAGCUUGCUUCGGUACUCGAGUGGCGAACGGGUGAGUAACACGUGGGUGAUCUGCCCUGUACUUCGGGAUAAGCUUGGGAAACUGGGUCUAAUACCGGAUAUGACAAUCUCUUGGAUGGGGUUGUGGAAAGCUUUUGCGGUAUGGGAUGAGCUCGCGGCCUAUCAGCUUGUUGGUGGGGUAAUGGCCUACCAAGGCGUCGACGGGUAGCCGGCCUGAGAGGGUGUACGGCCACAUUGGGACUGAGAUACGGCCCAGACUCCUACGGGAGGCAGCAGUGGGGAAUAUUGCACAAUGGGCGCAAGCCUGAUGCAGCGACGCCGCGUGGGGGAUGACGGCCUUCGGGUUGUAAACUCCUUUCGCAACCGACGAAGCUUUUGUGACGGUAGGUUGAGAAGAAGCACCGGCUAACUACGUGCCAGCAGCCGCGGUAAUACGUAGGGUGCGAGCGUUGUCCGGAAUUACUGGGCGUAAAGAGCUCGUAGGUGGUUUGUCGCGUCGUUUGUGGAAUACCGCAGCUUAACUGCGGGGUUGCAGGCGAUACGGGCAUAACUUGAGUGCUGUAGGGGAGACUGGAAUUCCUGGUGUAGCGGUGGAAUGCGCAGAUAUCAGGAGGAACACCGAUGGCGAAGGCAGGUCUCUGGGCAGUAACUGACGCUGAGGAGCGAAAGCAUGGGGAGCGAACAGG